UAUAUAUAUAUAUAUAGUGGAGUAUGAAGUACAAUAUUAAUCUCUGAAAUGUAUUGGUGAUGAAGUGUAAAGUAAAUGUGUAAAUAUACUUACAUGUAGUUACUUUCCACCACAGAACUGCUCCUCUCGUACUCCUGUUUGUGUGUGUGUAUUCAGAGCACUGACUGAAGCUAACGAUGUCAGCUUUUGCAUCCAUGCUCUCAUACAUCUCCGUGCAGCCUCGUAGAUUGCCUCCCCAUCUACUUGCAAUCUUGCCUUUGUAAUUUCUCCCUGUAAUGAAAGUUUCUGCCCAUCAAUGGCUGAAAAUGAUUCUGGAAAUGUUAAUAAGGGUGCGUGAUUACAUUCUAUCAGAGCUGAGAUUAAAUGAGGGAACGCCGAGGUGUGUGCAGGAGCAAAAACUAACAGCGUGCGUCAACGAUUUGGAUUUCCCUAUCCAAACUUGUCCCGCCCACUGUUAUCAAUCGCACACAGACAUUGGUAUAUGAUGCAAUCAGGAUGCAGAAGUCCAAUCUGCCUCCAGCAUGCUACAUCUACUGAUAAAGCUGCUGGAAAAAGCAUGUCGGCCCAGAAGCUCACAUACACCUCCCUUGGUGUCGCUGUAAGAUUUGUUUGUAACGCCAUGCUCGACCCGUGACAUUACGUCUGAGGAAAACGAACCCCAGCGCAGACAGUGACCAUUAUACCGCAAAAACACCGGCUUCAAUGAGGUGCAUUGAAUAGGUGCACCCAAUACAUUGAGCCAUCAGGAGACAGGUUCAUCAGAGAUAAAGCGAGUGUGCGUGAGUGUGUGUGUGUUGUCACACAUGUGCAUCAGCAUUCCCGCGGAGAGACGGCCCGCAGAUUGUAGGAUGAAGAUAUUCCUAGCGAUACAGAUAAGAAAUAUUUCCUGUAAUGGUGAUAAAAUGAAUUGGACUGACUGGACAGGACGAAAGUCUCUCAUAUAAAUGCCAUUUCGUAGAGACUUCUUUCUUCGUCUCCCGGUGUCUAUGUGCCAGGUGGAUCCAAAGUCAUCCCUCUCUCGCACUUUCAUUUUUGUUUCAAUCCCUUGUCUCGUCUAAUCUUCUCAUCACUCUAUUUUUCCCUUUGGCGUAUAUAAACAGUCACACACACACACACAUAAGCACACACGCACCAUCUCUUUGUCUCCCCAGGUGUGCGCUGGUCCAGGUGUACGUCUUCACGGGAGCUCAUCACUGCUCUAAUGAGAAUGAUCACCGCUCAUCUGUCUUCAUCCACAUCCAACAGAGAGCACCUGCUACUGUGCGUGUGAGCGUGUGGAUUAGAUUUUUGGGGUGUUUGUGAAAAUAUAUAACAGUGCAUACACAGGUGAUGUGUGUACGAUGUGGGUUAUUAGUUACGUGUAAAGACAAACUGAAAGGUGGCUCUUGUAUACAGCUAAUAGGCUUUUUGACUUUCAACGCCCCUUUAAGUGUCAACUUAUUUAACUCCCACUGAAAUAACGACUUUUGCACAAGAGCCUUUGUUUGAGAGUCUUUGAAUGAUCGCUAAGGCGCUGUGAAUCUCUCAACAGGAGCGAAGCUGUUUUGAUUCAAACCCCCCUACAGCUCUCUUCUGUCGUCUGCAUCUGUCAGCCGUAGGGGUUCGAUAUUAAAAGGAACAGAUGACUUGAUCAAACCACGAGCAGUGAAAAACAUUCAAACAACUUGUUGUACCUGUAUGAGGGCUGUGAAUGCGUCAACUGUUCCGCAACUGUUAAGUGGCCUACUUACCAUUACAGCAUGUUGCAGUACGACAGACAACACUGUGGUGUUAUUCAUAUUUCAUGCUUUCUUAUUCAUGUGAAAGGGAAUUCUAGUAAUAAACGCCGAGAGAAACUUCCCCUAACUGGGCGCGUUUCAUCACCUUGCAGCUCGUAUUUUCAGGUUGAACGCGCAGACUCCACACAGAAAGGCUGCUCGGCGGAGUGGAAUCCAGGACCUUCUUGAUGUGAGGCGAUAGCGCUAAUCGCCACACCGCCGUGCCACCCCCAACGACAUUUCCCCGGUGCUUGAAAUCUUGACGCGCUAGGUACCCCUCUACGGCGAGUUUAGACAGUGUCUUGUCAAAAUAAAAUUCCAACAGUGAAGCGAGGUUAGAAUUCAGAUGGACCCACACGUGACUCUAAAUCUAAUGUUGUUCAAUAUCUGCAGAAAAUGUAAAAUGUCAGCUGUUCCCUAAAUCCAUCCUCACUUAUAACUUUCUAAAGUGCUCACAUUUGUUAUGGUCUGUUCAAAUUUGUUUAUGCUAGAUCUAAGAUAUAUCCAUCCUCAGCCUCUCUGUCCUCAUGUCAAAUGCUUGAUAUUGACAUUUUAGGAACUUCGUCAUGAAGUAUCCUCAAAGUGUAUGUCGGUGUGGGUGUGUCCGUGCAUGUGUGUGUGUGUGUGUCUGUUUGGCGUCGUGGCGCAGGGGGUAGAGAGGGUGUGCUGGGAACCACAAGGUUGGUGGCAGUCCUGGCUGCCCCAUGUCGAAGUGUCCCUGAGCAAGACACCUAACCCCGAAUUGCUCCCCGGGCAAAAUGUAAGAGCCAUGGGUUAAAAAAUAAAAAAAAAGGUGAUGUAAGUCGCUUUGGAUAAAAGCGUCAGCUAAAUGACCUGUAAUGUAAAAAAUGUAAUGUUUGUUUAAUUCAUAGUUACAAUUGUAAUGAUCAAAUCUGCUCUUCUACAUGGGCUCUUUUUUGAGGCCUGUAUUUGAAAAUAUGUUUAUUUAAAACCAAGCCAGGAGAGACACAAAAACAAUAGAUAUUGUAUUUACCCAACCAAAGGCUGCAUCAAUUGGCUGUUGUCAAAGUCUAAGUAGAUCUUAUGUAAAACUCCCAAUCCAUGCAGUUUGUAUUGACCAAACGACAAAAUGCUUGUUCAUUUUUUCCUCAAUCCAAUUAGUUUUCUUGUGGCUUCCUGACAGCUCGUUUAUAUCUGUGAGUGAGUGCCCAGUACUGAAUGGGUAAUUGUUCAGUUAGUGUGUGCCUAUAAAUGUGUAGAGAAUCUUGUUACCUGAGUUUGCAUGGGAAUACAAACUGAAUUGAUUUGGAUCUGAGAUUAAUAGGGGGACAUUGUGAUGGAUUAUUGAUUAAUUUCUAUGAUCAAAUGAAAUCAAAGCUGAUUCAUGCAGCGCCCGGAGCAGGAGUCUCCGAUUGUUUUCUCUGCUUUGUUUCUCUGUUUAAGGUACUGACUUUCUUGUCCAGAUGCAAAAGUUCAAGGAACAAACGUAGAGGGCUGUUUGUGGAUUACAUGAGGUAGGCUGUAUUUACAAGCUUGGCUGCACUCUGUAACAUUGUUAAAGGUG
Gasterosteus aculeatus aculeatus (three-spined stickleback) is the source of this 3282-nucleotide long non-coding RNA. NCBI's taxonomy places the organism in Eukaryota, Metazoa, Chordata, Actinopteri, Perciformes, Gasterosteidae. The record is from Ensembl.